CCUACGGGGGGCAGCAGUGAGGAAUAUUGGUCAAUGGCCGCAGGGCUGAACCAGCCAAGUCGCGUGAGGGAUGACGGUCCUAUGGAUUGUAAACCUCUUUUGUCAGGGAGCAAAGGGCGCCACGUGUGGCGCUUUGCGAGUACCUGAAGAAAAAGCAUCGGCUAACUCCGUGCCAGCAGCCGCGGUAAUACGGAGGAUGCGAGCGUUAUCCGGAUUUAUUGGGUUUAAAGGGUGCGCAGGCGGAAUGUUAAGUCAGCGGUAAAAUUUCGGGGCUCAACCCCGUCGUGCCGUUGAAACUGGCGUUCUUGAGUGAGCUAGAAGUAUGCGGAAUGCGUGGUGUAGCGGUGAAAUGCAUAGAUAUCACGCAGAACUCCGAUUGCGAAGGCAGCAUACCGGCGCUCAACUGACGCUCAUGCACGAAAGCGUGGGUAUCGAACAGGAUUAGAUACCCUAGUAGUC
This 459-nucleotide ribosomal RNA is filed under the name uncultured bacterium. RNAcentral's name for it is "partial 16S ribosomal RNA". It matches the Rfam family "Bacterial small subunit ribosomal RNA", at positions 338 to 795 of the family's 1533-position model. The record is from RNAcentral.